GACGAACGCUGGCGGCGUGCUUAACACAUGCAAGUCGAACGGAAAGGCCUCUUUCGGGGGGUACUCGAGUGGCGAACGGGUGAGUAACACGUGAGUAACCUGCCCUUGACUUUGGGAUAACUUCAGGAAACUGGGGCUAAUACCGGAUAGGAGCUCCUGCUGCAUGGUGGGGGUUGGAAAGUUUCGGCGGUUGGGGAUGGACUCGCGGCUUAUCAGCUUGUUGGUGGGGUAGUGGCUUACCAAGGCUUUGACGGGUAGCCGGCCUGAGAGGGUGACCGGCCACAUUGGGACUGAGAUACGGCCCAGACUCCUACGGGAGGCAGCAGUGGGGAAUAUUGCACAAUGGGUGGAAGCCUGAUGCAGCAACGCCGUGUGCGGGAGGACGGCCUUCGGGUUGUAAACCGCUUUCGCUCAUGACGAAGCUUUGUGUGACGGUAGUGGGUAAAGAAGCACCGGCUAACUACGCG
Molecule: ribosomal RNA, 467 nt
Filed under: uncultured bacterium
Lineage: Bacteria
Description: partial 16S ribosomal RNA
Rfam family: Bacterial small subunit ribosomal RNA
Source: RNAcentral